GCUUAGAGUUUGAUCCUGGCUCAGAACGAACGCUGGCGGCAGGCCUAACACAUGCAAGUCGAACGAACCUUUUAGGUGAGUGGCGCACGGGUGCGUAACGCGUGGGAAUCUACAUCUCGGUGCGGAAUAACACAGAGAAAUUUGUGCUAAUACCGCAUAAUGACUCCGGUCCAAAGAUUUAUCGCCGAGGGAUGAGCCCGCGUUUGAUUAGAUUGUUGGUGAGGUAAAAGCUCACCAAGUCGACGAUCAAUAGCUGGUCUUAGAGGACGAUCAGCCACACUGGUACUGAGACACGGACCAGACUCCUACGGGAGGCAGCAGUGAGGAAUAUUGCACAAUGGGGGCAACCCUGAUGCAGCCAUGCCGCGUGCGUGAAGAAGGCCCUAGGGUUGUAAAGCGCUUUCAGUUGUGAAGAUAAUGACGGUAGCAACAGAAGAAGCUCCGGCUAAAUUCGUGCCAGCAGCCGCGGUAAUACGAAUGGAGCGAGCGUUGUUCGGAAUCACUGGGCGUAAAGCGUGCGCAGGCGGACUUGCAAGUCAGGAGUGAAAUCCCGGGGCUUAACCCCGGAACUGCUCUUGAAACUGCAAGUCUAGAGUCCCGGAGAGGUAAGGGGAAUUCCGAGUGUAGAGGUGAAAUUCGCAGAUAUUCGGAGGAACACCAGUGGCGUAGGCGCCUUACUGGACGGGUACUGACGCUCAGGCACGAAAGCGUGGGGAGCAAACAGGAUUAGAUACCCUGGUAGUCCACGCCGUAAACGAUGUGUGCUAGUUGUCGGGCAGUUUACUGUUCGGUGACGCAGCUAACGCACUAAGCACACCGCCUGGGGAGUACGGUCGCAA
Molecule: ribosomal RNA, 839 nt
Filed under: uncultured bacterium
Lineage: Bacteria
Description: bacterial SSU rRNA
Rfam family: Bacterial small subunit ribosomal RNA
Source: RNAcentral